RNAcentral lists this ribosomal RNA (146 nucleotides) under Jatropha curcas. RNAcentral's name for it is "5.8S ribosomal RNA". It matches the Rfam family "5.8S ribosomal RNA". From Rfam's summary of the family: 5.8S ribosomal RNA (5.8S rRNA) is a component of the large subunit of the eukaryotic ribosome. It is transcribed by RNA polymerase I as part of the 45S precursor that also contains 18S and 28S rRNA. Functionally, it is thought that 5.8S rRNA may be involved in ribosome translocation. Lineage: Eukaryota; Viridiplantae; Streptophyta; Magnoliopsida; Malpighiales; Euphorbiaceae. The record is from Rfam by way of RNAcentral.
GACUCUCGGCAACGGAUAUCUCGGCUCUCGCAUUGGUGAAGAACGCAGCGAAAUGCGAUACUUGGUGUGAAUUGCAGAAUCCCGCGAACGGGGAGCGAUUCUGCGCUUCAAGAGGUCAGUUUAUUGAUUUGUUCGAUAAUAUUUUU